This 239-nucleotide ribosomal RNA is filed under the name uncultured bacterium. Its description in RNAcentral is "partial 16S ribosomal RNA". It matches the Rfam family "Bacterial small subunit ribosomal RNA", at positions 115 to 348 of the family's 1533-position model. The record is from RNAcentral.
GCGUGAGGAACCUGCCUUGGAGAGGGGAAUAACACUCCGAAAGGAGUGCUAAUACCGCAUGAUGCNGUUGGGUCGCAUGGCUCUGACUGCCAAAGAUUUAUCGCUCUGAGAUGGCCUCGCGUCUGAUUAGCUAGUAGGCGGGGUAACGGCCCACCUAGGCGACGAUCAGUAGCCGGACUGAGAGGUUGACCGGCCACAUUGGGACUGAGACACGGCCCAGACUCCUACGGGAGGGCAUG